Molecule: unclassified non-coding RNA, 342 nt
Filed under: soil metagenome
Description: partial contains 5.8S ribosomal RNA, internal transcribed spacer 2, and large subunit ribosomal RNA
Rfam family: 5.8S ribosomal RNA (bases 1-120)
Source: RNAcentral
GAUGAAGAACGUAGCGAAAUGCGAUAAGUAGUGUGAAUUGCAGAAUUCAGUGAAUCAUCGAAUCUUUGAACGCACAUUGCGCCCCUUGGUAUUCCAUGGGGCAUGCUUGUUCGAGCGUCAUUUGUACCCUCGACCUCCCUUUGGGGAAGUCGGCGUUGGGGACCGGCAGCACACCGCCGGCCCUGAAAUGGAGUGGCGGCCCGUCCGCGGCGACCUCUGCGUAGUAAACCAACUCGCACCGGAACCCCGACGUGGCCACGCCGUAAAACACCCAACUUCUGAACGUUGACCUCGAAUCAGGUAGGACUACCCGCUGAACUUAAGCAUAUCAAUAGCGGAGGA